Molecule: ribosomal RNA, 467 nt
Filed under: uncultured bacterium
Lineage: Bacteria
Description: partial 16S ribosomal RNA
Rfam family: Bacterial small subunit ribosomal RNA
Source: RNAcentral
GACGAACGCUGGCGGCGUGCUUAACACAUGCAAGUCGAACGGAAAGGCCUCUUUCGGGGGGUACUCGAGUGGCGAACGGGUGAGUAACACGUGAGUAACCUGCCCUUGACUUUGGGAUAACUUCAGGAAACUGGGGCUAAUACCGGAUAGGAGCUCCUGCUGCAUGGUGGGGGUUGGAAAGUUUCGGCGGUUGGGGAUGGACUCGCGGCUUAUCAGCUUGUUGGUGGGGUAGUGGCUUACCAAGGCUUUGACGGGUAGCCGGCCUGAGAGGGUGACCGGCAACAUUGGGACUGAGAUACGGCCCAGACUCCUACGGGAGGCAGCAGUGGGGAAUAUUGCACAAGGGGUGGAAGCCUGAUGCAGCAACGCCGUGGGCGGGAUGACGGCCUUCGGGUUGGAAACCGCUUUCGCUCAUGACGAAGCUUUGUGUGACGGUAGUGGGUAAAGAAGCACCGGCUAACUACGUG